RNAcentral lists this long non-coding RNA (813 nucleotides) under Olea europaea subsp. europaea. Lineage: Eukaryota; Viridiplantae; Streptophyta; Magnoliopsida; Lamiales; Oleaceae. The record is from RNAcentral.
GUCCACCAAAAAUUUUGCCUUUACUCUCUAAUUUUUUUUUUUGCUGUUUCUUUAAUAAUUCUUGUUUCUUGAAAACAUCCGCAGUGAAUUUAGAAAUUUCCCAAUCACGUGAAUUAUGUGCCUUUUAUUGAGCAAAUAACCUAAAAGUAAGUGCUUCCUUUUUCUCUCCCACCCUCUUGCGUCUGAAGAAUGGAAAGAGAAACCCACAAUUUUCUCACUUCUUCAAGGUCUCUCUCUGUAUGUGUUUACAUGUCUAUAUAAUUUCCUUUUCAUUGAAAUUUUUGUUAUCUUGAAGAAGCCAAGAAUUCAGGUUUUUCUUUUUGCAAUUGAAUAUUAAUUGCCCAAUGUUUUACUAUCAAAAGGAAACCCAGUAGCCAUUCCAAUAUUCCCACUUUCCUCUGUUUGCUUGAAUUUAUCAUUUAUAAUUUACUUUAGUUUUGAUUGCUUUUCCAAAACUGCCCAAUGUUUAAAAAAAAAAAAAGAAGAAGGUAAUCUGGGAUUUUCACCAAAACAGGUUGAAUGGCUGGAGACGGGGCUCCUAUUGUAAUUAGUCUAGUCUCAAGCCCCCCGUUGCAAUAAUCACUCAAGGGUCUAUUUGCAAUUUUAAAAGGAGGGCCUACUUGUAAUUUGAGAUUUUGGAGGAUCUAGUUUUAAUUUUAAAUUUUGGGGUUAAAAUGUGAUGUACAAAAGGGCUUUUAUUUUGAACUUUUAAAAGUUUUUUGACCCUAAAAUUUCAAUUUGUCCAAUUAAAAUUUUAUUUAAACUUGACCCGAUUAAAAUCAUAUAUUGAAUAAAUAAUAAAAUUAAUUGACG